GAGUUUCUCUGUCUUAAGGAGAGUUAAAAAAAAAAAAGGACCACAUCAACCCAGCUCAGGAUUAGCACAAAGCAAAUGUCUAAAAUCCUCCAAAAGCUAAAAAACUAAAUAGAAUUCUUUGCAGCUUUAUGCUAUAAAACCCACUUUGCUGAACUUGCAAUUACAGCAUUUAAAGCUGCCUCAGUUCCAGUAGAUGACCCUUAUAAAACACCUAAGUCUGAACUCUGUUACACCGCUGUGUCAAUCUGCCAAGGAGGCUUUUGAUUUGAAGACACGACCUCCGCUGUUGUCUCCUGCAAUUAAUCUUUAUGGAAGUGAUUAAAGGGCUUUAGAUAAUUACAUGUCAAGAUGAUGUAGCCAACCACCCGGGUCAGUCAAGAAAGCCACUAUAGCUCUGUGGAGGGCUGUUUUUUUUCUCCUUUAACAAAAGUGGCUGCACUCCUGCUGCUGAAGUAGUGGAUAUAAGGGGGCCUGAGGCGAUAUAGAUUAUUGGUUCUGUAAGCAAUACGCUUCCUUAAUGUCACCACAUAAGUAGCUGAUGAGAAUAGCUAAACAGAUGCACUCAUGUUCCGAAAGCAUGUGCGUGUAUGGAGGGAUGAUGUGGCUGCUGAAAAGGGGGCAGUUAUCUCAAACAGGGUGGGGGAAUGAGUGCCUUAUUUCUGCAGUGUUCUGGAAUGAGAGCUAAUCAGAGCACGGCGGUGGUUUACAUAGCGUCUUCUUUGUUCUGGCGUUUUUUUUUUCUGUGGAGAAGCGCUGGGGUUUGCGGGGAUAUUGAGUGGAAUUGAUGUUUUUAUGUGCGUGCAGGGGAGGGGGGGAUGACUAAUGACCUGUCAGAGGUAGAUUUCCUGGCAGAGAUAUAAAAACCAGCAUGACGUGGACAUGGCAAAUGACAUAAUCAAGUCUUUCCCUGUAAGAGAUGCAAUCGCGGAGGCAUAAUGCAAACGUCUGGUGUUUUUUUCGAGGGUUCAUUUCCAGUCGUUCUAGGACCUCUCAUAUUAGCCGGGGUGUAAUGUCUAGUCACUGAAUGAUAGAAUGCACACAUUUCUAUGCAGAUUGCUACUGAAGGGCAAAGAGGUAUUAAAGGGCAUGGAGAGGAGUAAGGUGUGUGUGUGAGAGAGGGAGAGCUGGCCUGUUUUGUGGAGGUCUUUCAGGUGACAGCGCCAUGUUUCUACGGCUAUUCAGUCUCAAAUGAUUCCCCUGAUGUGCUGCCAUUUCUGUGAUUUAGGUGCUCGGCCACUAUUACGAUGAAAGAGAAGAAAUGUGCGUGCGUGCGUGUGUGUGUGUGCAUGUGUGUGUGUAAGGGUAGGACUUGCACUGAGGGUGACGGAGGGAGCUGUGGUUCUUAUAUACUCUCUCUACAGCCAGCUGGUGCCUACCUGGAAGCACAGGGUCAGGGAUACUUUAUCUUUCCAAAACAUAAACCCCAGGCCUUGGCUGCACACACAUCAGUUGCAAAAGCAAUGUCCUGCCUCGAGCCACGGUUUGUAAGAAUAGUAUAUUACAUACUUUGUUGCCCUGUAGACAAUAUUGUCCUGUUGCUGUCUCCUCUUAAAGUGUACCUUACCCCCCCCCCCCCCCCAAAAAAAACGAAAGGCAACAAAAAACAACAGAAUUUCAAGGUUUUGUAACUGCUCAGCUGACGUGUCCUCGCCCACAGCUGUUAUUUCAGAAAUAUUUCUCAUAUUCUUUAUUAAAAAAAAUACAUUACUUUUUUUAAAAAACCAUCAAAUCACAUGUGAAUUAUGUGGAACGUGUGUCUUUUUACAUUUGAAACAUGUGUUUCACAUAGAGAACUUGUGAUUUUGGAACAUUUUCAUGGCUUGUUUUUCAAAGCCAACGUUCAAUGCAUUUUCAGAUUUAUUUGGCAAUAUGUGUUCAUACUGUUUGUGAUCACAUGGAGAGAUUAUGGGAAAUGUAUGCAGAUUUUACAACCAUAUUGGUGAAAAUUGGGAAACAAGUGUGUGUAGUUUUAUCAUGAAAUUAGACCUGAGCUCAAGUGGCGAUUUAACCAUGAAAUAUUAUUUGGGCGGGUAUUAUAUAAAGGUAAUCAUCACCAUUCAUAAUACAUACUAUACCAUAUGUCCGAAAUGGCCAUGCUUUGCCUCCAUAAAUUCUGAUCUGAUAACAUAUACACAAAAGAAAAUAAGAAAUAAUGGCAGUUCUUUCUAUGUGUUAGAAAAUGAUCAAUUGCAACACAAACAAGAAACAGAUCUUUAUCAAGAAAGGUAGACAUAAGAUGUCAAUGAAAACUCACGGUCUCUGAAAUUAAAGAUGAAACAUGUUUUGGAUUCUAUUGAGAUGUGGCCAUUUUGUGGUUAAAGGCCUUUUAUUCCCAGAAAAAAAGUCUGUGUUCCUUGUGUUGCCUUGUUGGCUCUUCAUACUUAUUCUGCUUCCCUCAGUAGGCAGUAGUCUAUAACCAGUUAAUGUUUGGAUUACAUUUCCUCACAGCACAGUUUGCCUGAGCCCUAUUUAACUUGGUAAGCCUCGCGAUGAUUAUGGCACAGUCAUUAUCAAGGGUUGAAAACAUGACGAAAAAGGGGGGAAAGGGUUGGAGGAGAGGAGUGGAGGUGAGGUGAGAGAGCGCUGUGUGUGCAACACAAACCCCUGGUGAAAUGAAUUGGUUGUGUAGCGAGGAGUAUUUGUUUUAGGCAGGAAUUGUGUGGCUCUCUGCCAGGCAGCCAGACAAGCUUCUAAGUUUCCAAGUCAGCAGUGCCCUUAAAAAAAAAAGCUCCCCCCAUUACAGCAGGGAUGUAGAGAUAAUGUAGUGUGACACACGUUAUGUACACUGGGUCUCGGCAAGAAGAGCUUCAGGGACACAGGUGUCAUAAGAGCCAUUAAUCUACUAUUGUCACGUGUUAUUGCAAAUUAAAAGUAGCAUGUUACACUUGGCAGCCAUUGUUGCGGACAUACAGAGCAGGGGGGGGGGGGGGAGGUGGAUAGAAAGAGGGAGAGACCUCUGGAGAUGGUGACCACGGCUGUCCGCAAAGUGACAUAUAUUAGAAUUUGCAAUUCUGCAGAGAAAAGCUAUUACCUCACAGAUUAACAUCCACGACUCCUCCAUCCCCCCACUGCUUCUGACACCGUAGAAAAAAACAAAAGGAGAAGCUGCUCCUCUCAGGGUGAAAUGUGAAGCUUUCAUACAGUACGUAUGUUUAAGUACAAAUCUGCUCUUAUGGCUGUUUUGUUCACCAUCUUGUUAUGAGUUAGUGUUCGCUUGGGCUGAAUUAACCCUGAGCAGACAUCUAGAAGUUUUUUUUUUUGUUUUUGAGAGCAUGUCCAUGAAGUGUGUCCGGUCUUUCAAAGUCCUAACACACGUCUUUUCAAAGCAAACCUCCAGAUUGCACAAUCAAACCUGUAGACGACUUUUAAUUUGACCCAUUCUGAUCUCUUUUCUCACUUUGUGCCGCUUUCUUCUUUAUUUAUGAGAGAAUCAUCGAGAGAGAAAUUUCAUGAUAAGAUGAUCAUCAUAUAUUUAAAAAAAAAAAAAAAAGCCCAACAACAAUAGCCAGUGGCAGUCAGAAUGGAUGUGAUUCUGUGCUUCAGUGGCUUUUGAAUUAAUUAUUUCUUCUCUCUGAGCGUCGUGAGGACUGAGCCCGAUGUGUGUGGAUGGAGAUGAGUGAUAGAGCGGGCCGCCGUCACACCCUGCUCUGUGUAUCAGCAUCUGUUUUGGGGGAGAGGAAGAAUCAACAAAGGAACUAUGAGCACUGCAGAGUGUCAGCACCUCCAGUGCAAAAAUGUGAUUAAUAAAGCCUUUAAGAGCUCAAGAAAAUCAAAGUAAGCAAUGUUUAAAAAAGCAAAAAAAAAAGCAAAAUGUCUCCUAAUUUUCUUAUGCUGUUUGAUAGACAGCGUUUGCUCUUUAAAGACAUUUCAAAACGAUCACAUGAUAGUGAGUAAAGAAUCAGAAUUCCACUUUCAAAAAGCUGCAAAAACGAAAUAUUUGGCAAUUUUGAAUAACUGAUUUUCAACCAUUUUCUCAUUAAUCUUCAAUCUAAUCUCUUCCCACAACGAUCAAAGAUCUGUUGAGGCGUGUAUCAAACAAAUUCAGUAUUUCAUUUAUGUUAACAUAAUCCAAACACUCAAUUAGACAAACCACAAUGAGGCUGAGUUCAUCCAAUUUGUUUUCAUUUCAUUUCAUUAAGCAGGAAUUGAAUUAGGAGGGAAGUUAUGAAGGUGUAUUAUUGUGAAAUACAUCACAAUGUGUUGAGGGAAUGAGCGAGUAUGUAUGUUGACAUGUUAUUUAAACGUGGAGCCAACUGAGGGAUUUGGGGGGGGGGGGGGGGGUUUGAGGCUCAGUCUUUAGAGGGGGGGCUUUCAUGACCUCAAGGUGCCAGCUCACCUCCUCUUUCCUCGAACAAAAAAAAACUCAGUAAGUCUCUUUUUAUUGUGUGAUAACUUCGACUUUUAUUUAAAAUCAUUCUCUCUCCUCUAGAGGACUUUCAGAAAAGAUACCCAGACCGCUCAAUCUGCACUUCAUUUGUGGUAAUUGUUCUGUUGUUGUUUGGCGGGCAGUCACUCAGACUCACUCCCAACUCCCCUGAGUUACGUUGUCUAAAGCCUCCUGCUAGGGGUCUUGACCUCUGGGUGCCGAACCCGCAGAGAGGAGUCUGCUUUAUAGAGCUGGUUAUCUGAUCUGAUGGAGGCUGCUCCCUCGUUACUGGAGUGUUAAUACAGAGCGAUGUCAAGAUGAAUACACUCAACUACAAUCCGAUGAUCAAUAAACGACCACAGAGCGGGACAAGCGUGUAAUGCACCAACAAAGCCACUGUGGUCAAACAUUAGAAUAAUGGGCACAUUUGGAGAUGUCCAAAUAUUGGAAGUGACUUCUUGUAGUGAUGAGAAGAGCUUUCAGGCCCGACCUGAAAACUUUUAGGGUAAAUAAUUGUUUGAAAUUGAUCAGUUACUGAAAGGAAAACGUUUGGUAAACCUCCCUAAGUUGACAUGACAGAAAAUAUAUUUGUUUUCAGUAUUUUUCACUUGUUGAGUUAGGUGUGAUAAGUUCUUGCACAAAACAGAUCUAUGGAAAGAUGAGGUCUGUUUGGAUUAAAAUGACUGCUUUAUCAAAGUAAAGAGAUCUUUGUUGACACGGUUACAGUAACAACCACAAAGGGUGGGGGAUUAGGGAACUAUUGUUGUUGAAAGACACCAACUAAGACGAGAAAAAAAAAUGCUGUUUGGGGCAGUUUAUUAGGAGUUUUAUGAUAUACUUUGCUAUCAAAUAAAUGGUUAUGUUUGCAUAGCCCUGAUGGGCAUACAAGAAAGCGACACAGAUAUUCAAUAUGUCGCCAGAAUCGUCUUCAUCGUUGCUGACUUGUCUGGUGGGGAUCGGUAUUUGGGAGGGCAGAUGGGUCUGUCCUCAGCCUGAGUGGGAGGAAGAGUGUGUAGGUUGACCCAGGAUGGUUUGUCUUGUGUGUGGGAAGUGUAUUCCUCAGUGGUUGAAUGACAAAUAUGGUGUGUGUGUGUGUGUGUGUGUGGGGGGGUAUUGAUCAGGUUUGGUGGCUCAGGCCGGCUGAUGGAUAGUAAUUAAUGACUCUAUUUGCGCUGGUAGCAAAGAGAACAAUUGAGUUUGAUAAAGUGACAUGAAGCAGCUAUGGGAGCUGAGGGCCUUUUACUGAGGCUGAGCAGAACAAUGCUAAAUAUUUACCUGAAUUUGAUGAAAAGUUAAGAGCUGUUGUAUUGUUUUCAUGUGUUGAGUGAACAUGUUAAACCAAUUCACCUAAAUAUGAAGCUAGAGUCCUGUAAGCUAUGUUUAGCAUUAGUUGGAAGCAGGUUGGAAUGGGGCACUGCGACUACUUUAUAUUUUGAAUUUUGCACGAAUUAAACAAGAUAUGAAGUGUAAGUACGGUUAAGAGAUCUAGGCAUUGGAGAAAACCAAGCCAGCUGUUUGACUCUUUCACAGUUUAAUGGCUAUGAACCGCCAAGCAGCAUCUGACUUUUCCCUGAAAUUACAAAUGAUUCCUUUAAACUGUGCGUCGAUUUAAUAAAUAUAUAUUUUUAAAGUGUUCAUGCUUAAAUUAGAACUUUCUGUCUAAAUAUGUCAAGAAAUUACGUUAAAACCGUACCAAAUAUCAUGACUAAAUUAAGGUAAAAUGUGUGUAAAUAAUAAUGAACACAGAAACUUCAUCGAGCAAAUAUAUCUAUAUUCAAAUGUUUGAAACAUAAAACAAGUCACUGUCAUGGGAAAACUAUGCUUUUUGCAACUCACUAUUUCAGACAGAAAAAGAUGAUAAAGGUUUUUUAAGAUAAAAUGAUGGAAUUUAACAUUUUGUUCAUUUGACUCAAAAUGUGGAGUUCUAUAGAUUUCACUGUAAAGAGAAGAACUGUUGUAAAGUGUGAAGAUGUGAGAUUUAAUUUAGUGAUUAUAUCAAGAGUUUGAUGAUCUGGAUUAAAAUCAUAAUAACAAUACUUUGGUAAUAUUAAUAAUACCUUGGUAUUAUUAUUAGGUAUAUCAUAGUGAUGCACCAAUCCAUUACCUGGUGCACACUUUUUCCUCAAAUUUAGAAUCUGUUUACCCCACUGUGUCAAACUCAUGUAAGGCAACAUGAGGACAGGGCUUGCCCCAUGCCCUUCAGAUCUGAUUAUGCAACGUGUAAUUUUUACUGUUAACAAUCUGGCAAAUCAGUUAUCACUUCCAAAUAAGUCACGCAUUCAUUUGUGCAGUGAAAACAGAA
Molecule: long non-coding RNA, 6668 nt
Organism: Labrus mixtus (cuckoo wrasse)
Lineage: Eukaryota; Metazoa; Chordata; Actinopteri; Labriformes; Labridae
Exons: 2
Source: RefSeq, a predicted model, not a curated record